AGAUGAUUUCGCAGGAAUGAAAUUAAUGUUGAGUUAAACGUUCUACAGUUCUGUGUUAUUUAAAAAUUUUAAAAACGACUCAUAUGUAUUUCUUUUAUAAUCAGAGAAAAAAAGGUAAACACAUUCAAAUUGGAAAGUAAAGGAUAAUGUUAAUAAUGAAGUGGCCAGAUGUUUUUCCCUUUCCAUACUCCAGCCGUCAUGAACUUUGUAAUGAGCAUGAAUUAUUUUUUCAAUAUAAAAACAUAAAGAAACCCAUCCAAACUCAAUUUCACCUCUUCAAACAAAAAUAAAUGCACAGAUGCUUCCACGCUGCGUGGGGCAAGUAGUUUAUUUCUAAAUUAAAACUAUACACGGUUGAGGCGAUUUAUUCAUGAAGCAAAUUCUUUGGUAAGAAUAUACUGAGGGCCUACUGUCUAUAGACACAGUUCUCGCGGCUUUCGCGCUUAUUACCUCACUGAAUUAAAAAUGAAAAGAAAAACUUUUUUUUUUAAACCAAAGACGGUUUCAAGAAACCCGUAAGUUCCCGAAACGCGUUCCUCGCCGGGGAAGUUACCCCGCGUCCUAGCGCCUCCCCUCUCACGUGACCCUGCGACUCAGGGAAGCCAUCUUAAGCCUCGCCUCACAGAGGAAACUACAUCUCCCAGAAUGCUUUCUCUUUGCGUCGUGCUGGCACUUUUACUGGCCGGGUCCUAGAGCUGAGCCUGUAGCCAGGCGCCAUCUUUGACGCUGGCAGUCUUGGAUUUCUGCUGGUGUUGCUGCUGUGAGGACGGCGGGCGGUAGCGGCUAAGAAAGAAGAAAGACGUGGCAGCAAGCGGGAGUCGGGGACAGUGUCGGCGGUUCGGUAAAGUUUCUGUUCUCUGGGUCCCACUACUUGGGAGACACUCUCAAACUCCACAUACAGAAAGCCACCGACCUUAAUCCGGUAUCCUACACCCCUUCCUUACCUUAAUUAACUCCCACCCCAGCCCUCCGCAUCGGAGUCAAGAACAACAGGGACACUUCCGUUCUCCUUGUAGGAUUGAUGAAACCGUAAUGAAGAACACCCCCUAAGCUCCCAUAAUCGGUGCGGAUUCCUAUGGGGAAGGCCCAUGUUGUUGACAUCUUGCAGGCCUUGGUUCUGGACCUUGAGAAGGAGGCUGUGGAACUAGUGAUAGCGAUGCUUUUUAGGGUAAAUGUAUGUAGGUAUUGGGGGAAGGGGAGGGAUCAACCGAAAAGCAAUGAAAGUGGUUUGCAGCUCAGAUUUCAGUUCUUGCUGCUCCCGUAGAGUUCAACUCGAGAGUUACUCCUUUACAGGCAGUAAAGCUUCCCCAGUCUAAAAAUGUGGCAGAACGAAAUGUGGAUUAACUCUUGAUACAAACAGUAAAUUGAAAAUGCAGCUUGUGAACCCUACAAAUUUUUACUCCCAAAUCCCUUUUUUUUAGCCACCCGCAUUUUUAAAAAUUGAAUUAUUGUUAUUUAGAGCUGAAAGGGCUCAAUUAGCGUAUGCUGUUAAUGACCAGUAUGUGGAGUUUGCUUUAUAUUUCCCGGAUUUGACUUUUUGGGUUGUAUUGUCAAAUCACAGUCCUAAAUGAUGAAUGUUGAAUGAUGCACUAUGUUUUUGUUUAAGUGAGGUUUCCUGAAAUUAAAUAAUUUCAGAACUAAGGGAAAUUGAUGUUGCUACCAUGACGCAUCCUAAAAAUACACAUUUUAAAAGCUGAAGGCAUUUCAAGCAGAGAUAGUUCUUGAUGAACCAGAGAGAACAUGGACCUGGGAUUUGGAAGACCUGGCUUCUAGCUGCUGCUAACUCUAUGACUCUGGGAAGGUGGCCCUCAGUUCCUUUUUUCUAUAACACGAAGAGAUUGGACUGUUUGAAUUCAGAUUCAGAACUCAGAAGCUGGAAGGGAUCAUAAAGCCCUAUAAGAAAGAGUUUGGGAAUGUUCUCCAUUGCUGUCACUUUUCUUCCAAAAAUAACCUGGCUUGGAAGUCAUUGUUCCAAAGAGAAUUUGAUUCCCCAUAGAAAUUGGAGACAAGGUAAUGCGAUUAGAGAGGAACAGCUGUAUUUCUGCUUGAGUGAUAAACCCACUAAGAGAUUCUGGUACGAAUUUUGGAGACAUAAAGAGAAUGAGUGUAUGUACCUUAAGCGCACCAGUUUCCUCGCUCUCUCCUGGCCGAAGAUGCAGCACUUUUAGCGGUGCUGGGAUUCUGGGAUGUGUUCCUAUUAAUUCUAACACAGAUGAAGAUGAUGUAGUAGAGGGGAAGAUGGUGGCCGAAGGAAUGGAUAAGGAGGCAAAAUUGCCUGCUAAAAAGAAAAGGAAGAAGGGUUUACGGAUCAAGGGGAAAAGGCGAAGAAAAAAACUGCUCCUUGCAAAAAAGUUUAGUAAGGAUUUGGCAUCUGGGAGGCCUGUUGCAGAUGCGCCUGCUUUAUUAGCUUCCAGUGCCCAUGAGCAGGAUGAAGAAAGUCUUUUCGAGAGCAAUAUAGAGAAACAGAUCUACCUACCCAGCACCAGAGCCAAGACCUCCAUCGUGUGGCACUUCUUUCACGUUGACCCCCAGUAUACCUGGCGAGCUAUUUGUAACCUUUGUGAAAAAAGCGUCAGCAGGGGUAAACCAGGCAGCCAUCUGGGGACAUCUACUCUACAACGACAUCUGCAGGCAAGGCAUUCACCUCACUGGACCAGGGCCAACAAAUUUGGAGUCACUAGUGGGGAGGAGGAUUUUCCUUUGGAUGUGCCUUUAUCUCCCUCUUCUGCUGGAAGCAGUGGAAGCUUUGAAUAUAUCUCUACUGAUCCAUUAGAUGAAAACAGAAUGGGUAAGAAACGUGAUAAAUCGGUAUCUGAUGCCCUGAGGGCAGAAAGAGGGAGAUUUCUCAUCAAAAGUAACAUUGUCAAGCAUGCCUUAAUUCCCGGGACAAGAGCCAAGACAUCUGCGGUUUGGAAUUUUUUUUAUACUGAUCCUCAGCACAUCUCAAGAGCUGUGUGUAAUAUAUGUAAACGGAGCGUGAGCCGGGGUAGGCCAGGUUCUCACUUGGGAACGUCAACGCUUCAACGACACUUGCAGGCCACACAUCCCAUCCAUUGGGCCGUUGCCAACAAAGACAGCGGUGCGGUUGGGAAUGGAUUAGAUGAGACUGAGACUGAGAGAAAUGAUCUCUUAAGCGAUCCUCUGCAUGGAGAGAAGUCUACAGGCAGCCACAGUUUAACAGCCGAGGACCUUAGUGACUCUGAUUCAGACGAACCUCCUGUAUUAGAGGUGGAAAAUAGUAGAAGAUCUGAGAGUCCUAAUCCUGUUGCAGAGCAAGACACUCUGACCCACGCACAGGAGAGAGAGACAACAUAUUCCGAAAAUUCAGUCUCAAGUCAAAUAAGUCAGGCAAUUAUUCAGAUGAUUGUGGAGGAUAUGCAUCCUUACAACUACUUUUCAACCCCAGCCUUUCAGAGGUUCAUGCAGAUUGUGGCCCCCGACUAUAGAUUACCAUCUGAGACUUACUUUUUCACGAAGGCUGUACCUCAAUUGUAUGAUUGGGUCAGAGAAAAAAUUUUCUUAACUUUGGAGAAUGUUCAAAGCCAAAAGAUCCACUUGACUGUGGACAUCUGGACCCACGACCCAUCCACGGACUAUUUCAUUGUGACUGUACACUGGGUCUCUUUGGAAACUGCACCUUCUAGUAAUGGCAGGACCCCCAAUUUUAGAAAGUGGGCAGUACUUUGUGUGACAGGUUUGGCCAAAGACUGUUUGAUAACCAACAUUUUACAAGAACUAAAUGACCAGAUUGGUCUGUGGCUUUCUCCUAAUUUCCUCAUUCCUAGCUUCAUUGUUUCUGACAAUUCUUCUAAUGUGGUACAUGCAAUCAAAGAUGGUGGUUUUACCCAUGUGCCGUGCUUCCUGCAUUGUUUAAACAUAGUCAUUCAGGACUUCUUCUGUGAGCACAAAAGCAUUGAGAAUAUGUUAGUAGCUGCUAGGAAAACCUGUCAUCAUUUUAGUCAUUCAGUCAAAGCCCGUCAGAUACUGCAAGAGUUCCAAAACGAUCACCAACUCCCGUGGAAGAAUUUGAAGCAGGAUGAAACUGGCCAUUGGAUUUCUACCUUUUAUAUGUUAAAAUGGCUCUUGGAGCAUUGCUAUUCAGUUCACCAUAGCCUUGGCAGAGCCAGUGGAGUUGUGCUCACCUCCCUUCAGUGGACUCUAAUGACUUACGUUUGCGAUAUUCUGAAACCAUUUGAGGAGGCCACCCAGAAAGUGAGUGUCAGGACCACAGGAUUGAAUCAGGUGCUACCCCUAAUCCAUCAUCUACUUCUUUCUCUGCAGAAACUCAGAGAAGAUUUUCAAAUAAGAGGUAUUACUCAGGCGCUCAAUCUGGUGGACAGUUUAUCUCUGAAACUUGAAACUGAUUCCCUCCUGAGCGCCAUGCUCAAAUCCAAGCCUUGUAUCUUGGCUGCUUUGUUAGACCCUUGCUUUAAAAACAGUUUGGAAGACUUUUUCCCUCAAGGUGCUGAUUUAGAAACUUACAAGCAGAUCCUUGCAGAAGAAGUUUGCAACUAUAUGGAAUCUUCAGAGGUCUGCCAUAUUGCGACUUCAGAUGCUUCUGGUCCCUCAGGCAUCGUAGGAGCUGAUUCGUUUACCUCAUCUAUAAGAGAAGGCACCUCCAGUUCAGGGUCUUUUGAUAGCUCAGCUGCAGAUAAUGUUGCCAUUGGAAGCAAAAGCUUCAUGUUUCCUUCUGCCAUAGCAGUAGUGGAUGAAUACUUCAAAGAGAAGUAUUCAGAGAUCUCAGGAGGUGGUGACCCUUUGAUUUACUGGCAGAGGAAGGUGAGCAUAUGGCCAGCUUUGACCCAAGUUGCCAUUCAGUAUCUAAGCUGCCCCAUGUGUAGUUGGCAAUCUGAAUGUAUCUUUACUGCAAAUAGCCAGUUUCAUCCAAAACAGAUCAUGAGCCUGGACUUUGACAAUAUAGAACAGCUGAUGUUUUUGAAAAUGAACUUGAAAAAUGUUAACUAUGAUUAUUCUACAUUGGUUCUGAGCUGGGAUCCUGGGAAUGAAGUUAUUCAAAGCAAUGAAAAAGAAAUAUUACCUUAAUUUCUUUUUCCUUUUUCCAUUUGAAAUGGGCAACUUGUUGCUAUGUUACUGUAUCCGAAUUGCUAUAGUUGUUAAACAUAGUUACACUAAUUAUUCUUAAUACACACAUCUGGGGAAACCUGAAAACACAAAGAGUGCUGAAAAUUCCUCAGAGGUAAUAAUGUUGACAAAGUGAAGAUUAAAAAUUUCACAGUAGUAACUCAAUAUAGCUGUCACUUGAAAUUUUGUUUAUACCAGUUAAGAGAGAAAAGGUAUUUUUUAACUUAAAAAAUAUAGUGCAGCAUUGAAAGGCUUUAGGCUAUUUCUGGCUGGUAGAUUGAAUUGUAAUUGGUUUUAAGUAAAAAAAAUUUCUCCCAUCACGGGAAAUUUGAUUUCUCUGAAACCAGUGAAAUUGAAGGGAAAACAUACUAAGCUGGUAUUCCUCCCCGUCUCUCCCAUUUUUCUGUUCCUUUAAAAACCCUCAUCCAUACUUACAAGUUGGCAAAAACAAAACUCACGAAAUUUGGAAAUUUCUAAUUGCCUCCUCAUACUGGUCAGCUUUACAAUUUCAACUUACUGAGUGUGAUAGAGUUACCCUUUAUAUUUAGGGAUUGGAUCUAAGUAAAAGGGGAACAUUAGAAAACAAUCGGGAAAAAUUACUAAAAUUACUUUUAGUCUUUGAGUUGCCUUUUUUAAGCUUUAUAAAAUAGUGGGAAGACAAUAAAAUAAAGAUUGUAUGGGUACUUUUUACACAUACGGGCAAAUGACAUAAUAGGUUUACAGAAAUUGAGAAAGAUUGAAUGGGAAUUGGAAUAAAAGCCCCAGGAGCAUACUUUUGACAAAUGCAGUGUCCGUGUCCCAAAGAAUGUUUCUCAUUGUAAGUGAUCUUAAGUGUCUUAAAAUAUAUAUGCUGAAUGAUCCAUAAUACUGUAUUCUUAACUGUGAGAUUGGUUUUUGGCUUUUAAUCUUAGCUAAACAUAAGCAUUCAGUAUUUUCAGGUGUUAGGAAUCACUGCCUCACUGGUAAAAUAAGAGAAUUGAUCUCAGUGACCUUUAAAGUCCCUUUCCACUCUCAAAGUAUGUUUCUGUGGUUGAGUGGGAGGCCAGAGAAUGAUGACUUUUAGUGAAAGUCUAUUACAAGUUUCAGACUGAAUAACUAAUGUAAGAUCCCAAUUUUUCCUUUUUUUCAUUUUAGAUUUGGGGAUAUUCCCUGCCCAAAAAUUUCCUGGAAAAUUGACUAGUAUUAAGUGUGAGUAAAAGGUGUCCACUUUUUUUUAAGUUUUGAUUUUAGUUUUGUCUUGGAUAGUAUUUGGCAAGAUUUAGCCUAGAAACUAUGUAGUACUUAUUACAUGAGAAUCAAAAUUGCUUUGUUACGGGGCUGGUUUCAAAAUUUAGAACUCAUUUCUCUGUAUCAAAAUUGUUCUUUUUUUGUUUUUGGGGUUUUUUUGUUUUUGUUUUUGUUUUUGUUUUUUUUUUAAAUUCUUAAAUGGUAAAUGUACCAUUGUGCAAUGAAAUUUCAACUCCCAAAGUUUACCCUUUUACUAACUGGAGUAAAUGAAUAAUUACAAAGUCUUUAGUUGUAGCCAUCAUUUGUAAAAAAAAAAAAAAAAGAAAAAAGAAAAAAAAAAUGAAACCAGGCUGCAUAAGCAAGCCUUUGCAGGGCCAAUAUUGAAUGUCAUGCCAGUGACACUGGUGUUGCUGUAAAAGAAGAAAAAAAAAAUCUUCCCUUGGAUAGAAGCUUUCUGUAUUUUGACACUCCCAGUUCAGGAUGGCUAUAAUGCUGCUCUGCCUUCUACAGCUUGCUGCACCACUCUGUAGUUACUCGAUAACUAUACGUUUCUAUCUUUUUUGGUUAAACACUCCCUGAAGAUGAUAAAGACGAUAAUGAUGUACAUACAUCCGUAUUAGUAUUAUACACAUUGAUACAUGUGUAAGGAUCUCCCUUCAUGUUUACUCUGUGGGCUGGGCGAAAUUUAGUGUAACAUAUUGGUACACAUCAUGAUACUUUGGUAUAAGAGUAAGUUCACUAUUUUUAUAAUGAACCCAAAUCUGAAGGCUUUUAUAGUGUAUUUUAAAAGGGAAAACUUACCCAAAUGUUUUAUUUCUACACAUUUGUGUAUAUGUGUGUGUGUGUGUAUAAGCCAGUUAGUAUGUAUGUAUAUGUAUAUUAUAUACAUAAAACACUAUAUUUUUUCAUACAAGUAUGCUUUUAUUAUACAGAUAAUAAAGAUGGGGGAAGGUUUCUGUUUUUUUCUUAAUAGGUGAAGAAAUCUUGAAGACCAGAAAUUGGAUCUUAUUGAAUUUUGGUGUUCUUUUUCUUUUUUCUUUUUCUUCUUUCUUUUUAAAUUCUAUUGUUCGGCUAUGGAAGAUGGAUUUUUUUUUUCCCAAUAAUCUUUUGAAUCUCAAGUUCAUCUUUAAAUGAACUCUCUUUUUGUUGGUUUUUUGUUUUUGUUUUUGUUUUUGAGGAGAUAACUAACCCUAGCUGUCUCCAGUCUGACAAAGGUUAUUCAAAUGGACUUAAUCUCCCAGUAGUUGGGAGAUGUUUUAAAAACACCUCCUGUGUUUGAAUUGUGGCUGAGAGGUUUCCUUGGCAAUGUGAGGAGGAAAAUUCUUUCUGCCUCAUUAUUAUUAAUUCAUGGAUUGAGUGUUGGUUCGACCUACAGGCGUAAUAGAUUGGAACUCAGUGAAGACACAGAGGUUCCUGUUGAGAGCAAGCAGCUAAUGAUUGCAUUUUAAAGACGAUUUCUGUGAUUGAGUGGUCUUUUGGAAGAUUAAACCCAUUUCAAGAGGACUUGGAGCUGGUCCUCGCCUUGAGGAAGCAGUGGCUUGCUUUCAAGAAGCCACUUCUAAUCUGAGGAUCUACCCAGCAUGCCUAAUCAAGGAGAAGACUGCUAUUUUUUUU
RNA transcript from Felis catus (domestic cat), 7923 nucleotides. It is a transcript of the gene named zinc finger CCCH-type containing 11A, with no coding region annotated. The record is from RefSeq and is a predicted model, not a curated record. NCBI's taxonomy places the organism in Eukaryota, Metazoa, Chordata, Mammalia, Carnivora, Felidae. The transcript is spliced from 3 exons.